GCGCAGUGGAAAUCGUGCCAUGAGCCUCCUCACCAUGUGACCUUCCAGAAUGAUCCUGGAAGAAAACACAGGCCAGACCAUUCUUGAGUCAAUGGCAAAGUGAGGCGGUUGCUUCAGGCAGAGAUGAUCACUCCCCGCAGAUGCUGGACCACUCUCUUUGCCUUCACCUGCUGUAUGGCUUUGUUCCUUGACCAUGUUGGGGGCUCCGAACCACCACCAUACCCGGGUGACAAUGCCUCAAAAGAAGAAAUGGACGCAUUUCUGAAGGCCGUUAAGGAGUAUCUUGAUCGAGAAGGCGCCAAGAAGAGGGACCUGGGUGAUGAGGAUAUCGCUGGAUUCUGAGAACAUCCCUAUAGUUGCCCCAAGUGACUGUUGAACACAACAGGGCCAAGACCAGAACAGAUGGACAUCACAGCAGUCACCCCAAACUCAAGACAGAAAACUGAUCUCUCCAUGCUUCUCCCUGAUGACCUUUGCCAGUUAUGCCUUGGUGAAUCUGCAUCUUUAAAGAGGCCAAGCUACUUGUGUUGCCUUCUUUUGCUCUCCUUAGUGAGUUACGGGAGAAUCACAUAAUUAGAACGAACACCA
Hemicordylus capensis (graceful crag lizard) is the source of this 588-nucleotide long non-coding RNA. RefSeq lists it as uncharacterized. The record is from RefSeq and is a predicted model, not a curated record. Lineage: Eukaryota; Metazoa; Chordata; Lepidosauria; Squamata; Cordylidae. The transcript is spliced from 5 exons.